This 251-nucleotide ribosomal RNA is filed under the name uncultured bacterium. Its description in RNAcentral is "partial 16S ribosomal RNA". It matches the Rfam family "Bacterial small subunit ribosomal RNA", at positions 30 to 289 of the family's 1533-position model. The record is from RNAcentral.
UUGAACGCUGGCGGCAUGCCUUACACAUGCAAGUCGAACGGUAGAGGGGCAACCCUUGAGAGUGGCGAACGGGUGAGUAAUAUAUCGGAACGUGCCCAGUCGUGGGGGAUAACGCAGCGAAAGCUGCGCUAAUACCGCAUACGAUCAUGGAUGAAAGCGGGGGAUCGCAAGACCUCGCGCGAUUGGAGCGGCCGAUAUCAGAUUAGGUAGUUGGUGGGGUAAAAGCCCACCAAGCCGACGAUCUGUAGCUG